This 219-nucleotide long non-coding RNA is filed under the name Mytilus galloprovincialis (Mediterranean mussel). Lineage: Eukaryota; Metazoa; Mollusca; Bivalvia; Mytilida; Mytilidae. The record is from RNAcentral.
GUCCUUAUUGCUUUUGGUCAGAUGCAAUAUUUUUCUAAUCAACAAUUUUAUGUUCUUCUGUGGAUUUGACCUUCUGAUGGAUUUUCCUGCAUUGAUCACACACCAAUAAAUUACACAGUAAACAUUUCCACUUGAUUUUACUUUCUUCUUCACACAUUUGACAUGCUAAAACUGUCUAUCCUUUCUGGAAAGAUUUUGAUGAAGCCAUUUUCUGUGUAU